AUGGGGCCGAUGCCGGAUCUCGAGGACAGUUUUGCGGGUAUGACCCUCCAUGGCGAAGAGGAGGAAGAUCUUGACUUCUCCAGCGAGGUAGAUGAUCUCACCAAGGAUGUUUGUUGGCUGGGCUUAUUCCGGGUGCACACCACUCGACCUUUCAGUCAUGCGGCGCUGCCCAAUCAGAUGCAAAACGCUUGGAAAAAGGAGCUGGCUGAGAAGGUAGCUGCCAAGGUAGGAGAGCCACCUCUCACGGUGAUAGUCAAUGAAGGGAGGAUUAACCCAACUAGCACUCUUCGUGCUAGGGUAUUUCUAGAUGUGACCAAGCCGCUGGUUCAUUUUGUGCUAAUAACAUUGAAGGGUAGUAAGAGGUAUAAGGUUUUCUAUGAGAAGCUCCCUGAUUUUUGUUUUGUGUGUGGGCUCAUGGGACAUAUUGUUGAAGAAUGUGGCGACGGUGUCCACAUUCCCUCGAAAUUUGAGUGGGGUGAUUGGCUAUUAUGGGAUCCUGAACCGCCAUCUGAUCGUCCUUUUGUUGGAAGGGGCGAGGGACAUAUGGGUGGCCGAUGA
This 558-nucleotide ribosomal RNA is filed under the name Triticum aestivum (bread wheat). Its description in RNAcentral is "partial small subunit ribosomal RNA". The record is from RNAcentral. Lineage: Eukaryota; Viridiplantae; Streptophyta; Magnoliopsida; Poales; Poaceae.